AUACGGAGGGUGCGAGCGUUAAUCGGAAUUACUGGGCGUAAAGCGUACGCAGGCGGUUGGUUAAGUUAGAUGUGAAAGCCCCGGGCUUAACCUGGGAACUGCAUUUAAAACUGGCGAACUAGAGUUGAGUAGAGGGGAGUGGAAUUUCAGGUGUAGCGGUGAAAUGCGUAGAGAUCAGAAGGAACACCAGUGGCGAAGGCGACUCCCUGGACUCGAACUGACGCUGAGGUACGAAAGCGUGGGUAGCAAACGGGAUUAGAAACCCCAGUAGUCC
Molecule: ribosomal RNA, 274 nt
Filed under: uncultured bacterium
Lineage: Bacteria
Description: partial 16S ribosomal RNA
Rfam family: Bacterial small subunit ribosomal RNA
Source: RNAcentral